GGGGUUGUAGCUCAGUGGUAGAGCACUCACCUUACAUGCGUGAGGCCCUGGGUUCGAUUCUCAGCACCA
Molecule: transfer RNA, 69 nt
Filed under: Ictidomys tridecemlineatus (thirteen-lined ground squirrel)
Lineage: Eukaryota; Metazoa; Chordata; Mammalia; Rodentia; Sciuridae
Description: Spermophilus tridecemlineatus (thirteen-lined ground squirrel) tRNA
Rfam family: tRNA
About the family: Transfer RNA (tRNA) molecules are approximately 80 nucleotides in length. Their secondary structure includes four short double-helical elements and three loops (D, anti-codon, and T loops). Further hydrogen bonds mediate the characteristic L-shaped molecular structure. tRNAs have two regions of fundamental functional importance: the anti-codon, which is responsible for specific mRNA codon recognition, and the 3' end, to which the tRNAs corresponding amino acid is attached (by aminoacyl-tRNA synthetases). tRNAs cope with the degeneracy of the genetic code in two manners: having more than one tRNA (with a specific anti-codon) for a particular amino acid; and 'wobble' base-pairing, i.e. permitting non-standard base-pairing at the 3rd anti-codon position.
Source: Rfam by way of RNAcentral